This 1735-nucleotide ribosomal RNA is filed under the name Proteus mirabilis. RNAcentral describes it as "bacterial LSU rRNA". It matches the Rfam family "Bacterial large subunit ribosomal RNA", at positions 1223 to 2925 of the family's 2925-position model. The record is from RNAcentral. Lineage: Bacteria; Pseudomonadati; Pseudomonadota; Gammaproteobacteria; Enterobacterales; Morganellaceae.
GUUGGGUAGGGGAGCGUUCUGUAAGCCUGCGAAGGUGUACUGUGAGGUAUGCUGGAGGUAUCAGAAGUGCGAAUGCUGACAUAAGUAACGAUAAUGCGGGUGAAAAACCCGCACGCCGGAAGACCAAGGGUUCCUGUCCAACGUUAAUCGGGGCAGGGUGAGUCGACCCCUAAGGCGAGGCUGAAAAGCGUAGUCGAUGGGAAACGGGUUAAUAUUCCCGUACUGGUGGUAACUGCGAUGGGGGAACGGAGAAGGCUAGGUUGUCCGGGCGACGGUCGUCCCGGUUCAAGCAGGUAGGCAGAGUGAUUAGGCAAAUCCGGUCACUUAAUGCUGAGAUGUGAUGACGAACCACCAAGGUGGUGAAGCAAUUGAUGCCCCGCUUCCAGGAAAAGCCUCUAAGCUUCAGGUUACCAACAAUCGUACCCCAAACCGACACAGGUGGUCAGGUAGAGAAUACUCAGGCGCUUGAGAGAACUCGGGUGAAGGAACUAGGCAAAAUGGUGCCGUAACUUCGGGAGAAGGCACGCUGGCGGUAGGUAAAGUCCCUCGCGGACGGCGCUGAAGCCAGUCGAAGAUACCAGCUGGCUGCAACUGUUUAUUAAAAACACAGCACUGUGCAAACACGAAAGUGGACGUAUACGGUGUGACGCCUGCCCGGUGCUGGAAGGUUAAUUGAUGGGGUCAGCCGUAAGGCGAAGCUCCUGAUCGAAGCCCCAGUAAACGGCGGCCGUAACUAUAACGGUCCUAAGGUAGCGAAAUUCCUUGUCGGGUAAGUUCCGACCUGCACGAAUGGCGUAAUGAUGGCCAGGCUGUCUCCACCCGAGACUCAGUGAAAUUGAACUCGCUGUGAAGAUGCAGUGUACCCGCGGCAAGACGGAAAGACCCCGUGAACCUUUACUAUAGCUUGACACUGAACAUUGAGCCUUGAUGUGUAGGAUAGGUGGGAGGCUUUGAAGUGUGGACGCCAGUCUGCAUGGAGCCAACCUUGAAAUACCACCCUUUAACGUUUGAUGUUCUAACCUAGGCCCAUAAACUGGGUCGGGGACCGUGUCUGGUGGGUAGUUUGACUGGGGCGGUCUCCUCCUAAAGAGUAACGGAGGAGCACGAAGGUUGGCUAAGCAUGGUCGGACAUCAUGCGGUUAGUGCAAAGGCAUAAGCCAGCUUGACUGCGAGAGUGACGGCUCGAGCAGGUACGAAAGUAGGUCUUAGUGAUCCGGUGGUUCUGAAUGGAAGGGCCAUCGCUCAACGGAUAAAAGGUACUCCGGGGAUAACAGGCUGAUACCGCCCAAGAGUUCAUAUCGACGGCGGUGUUUGGCACCUCGAUGUCGGCUCAUCACAUCCUGGGGCUGAAGUAGGUCCCAAGGGUAUGGCUGUUCGCCAUUUAAAGUGGUACGCGAGCUGGGUUUAGAACGUCGUGAGACAGUUCGGUCCCUAUCUGCCGUGGGCGUUGGAAGAUUGAGAGGGGUUGCUCCUAGUACGAGAGGACCGGAGUGAACGCACCACUGGUGUUCGGGUUGUCAUGCCAAUGGCAUUGCCCGGUAGCUAAGUGCGGAAGAGAUAACCGCUGAAAGCAUCUAAGCGGGAAACUUGCCUCGAGAUGAGUCUUCCCUGUCGCUUUAAGCGACCUAAAGGAACGUUUAAGACUAAGACGUUGAUAGGCUGGGUGUGUAAGCGUAGCGAUACGUUGAGCUAACCAGUACUAAUGAACCGUGAGGCUUAACCUGACAACACCGAA